GGUGCCGUAGCUCAGCGGUAGAGCCUUCGAUGGCCCCGGUUCGAGUCCGGGCGGCACCG
This 59-nucleotide transfer RNA is filed under the name Olsenella sp. RNAcentral's name for it is "tRNA-OTHER". It matches the Rfam family "tRNA". Rfam says of the family: Transfer RNA (tRNA) molecules are approximately 80 nucleotides in length. Their secondary structure includes four short double-helical elements and three loops (D, anti-codon, and T loops). Lineage: Bacteria; Bacillati; Actinomycetota; Coriobacteriia; Coriobacteriales; Atopobiaceae. The record is from RNAcentral.